CAACGGGUACACAAGUGUUGCUAAUCAAAGUACGGCAUUUUUCUCGCCCACGUCUAGCGACACCCGCCAUCAGUUAACAACAAGAAUAAUUCCGACUUCCGCUUUCAAAUUCCCAAUAUUUUGGUUUACAGCAAACAGAAGUCAGAACGGAUUUAAAUUGCGGAGAAACGAUCGAUUUCUGUAAGUCAUGUAAUGAUUGUCUUCUUCAAUGCAGUAAUGUGAAAAAGGGUAUCAGUAGCAACGCCCGUACUAUAGACAAUUAAGGU
Molecule: non-coding RNA, 266 nt
Organism: Paramuricea clavata
Lineage: Eukaryota; Metazoa; Cnidaria; Anthozoa; Malacalcyonacea; Plexauridae
Source: the annotation of a GenBank genome assembly